RNAcentral lists this ribosomal RNA (400 nucleotides) under phytoplankton environmental sample. RNAcentral's name for it is "partial small subunit ribosomal RNA". It matches the Rfam family "Eukaryotic small subunit ribosomal RNA", at positions 587 to 989 of the family's 1831-position model. The record is from RNAcentral.
AGCUCCAAUAGCGUAUAUUAAAGUUGUUGCAGUUAAAAAGCUCGUAGUUGAACUUGUGGUAGAUGUUGGACUCCUUUACUUUUUGGUAAUGGUUUUGUCCAGUAUUGCCAUCUUUUCAUGGAACUUGUGUGGCAUUAGGUUGUCGUGCAGGGGAUAUGGAUCAUUUACUGUGAAAAAAUUAGAGUGUUUAAAGCAGGCUUAUGCCAAUGAAUAUAUUAGCAUGGAAUAAUGAGAUAGGGCCUUUGUGCUAUUUAGUUGGUUUGUGCAGGAAGGUAAUGAUUAAAAGGGAUGGUUGGGGGUAUUUGUAUUCCAUUGUCAGAGGUGAAAUUCUUGGAUUUUUGGAAGACAAGCUACUGCGAAAGCAUUUACCAAGGAUGUUUUCAUUAAUCAAGAACGAAAG